GCCGGUGUGGUGGUGCACGCCUGUAAUCCCAGCUACUUGGGAGGCCGAGGCAGGAGAAUCGCUUGAACCUGGGAGGUGGAGGUUGCAGUGAGCCAAGAUCACAACACUGCACUCCAGCCCAGGUGACAGAGUGAGACUCUGUCUCAA
RNAcentral lists this non-coding RNA (147 nucleotides) under Homo sapiens (human). The record is from Rfam by way of RNAcentral. Lineage: Eukaryota; Metazoa; Chordata; Mammalia; Primates; Hominidae.